Molecule: long non-coding RNA, 922 nt
Filed under: Calidris pugnax (ruff)
Lineage: Eukaryota; Metazoa; Chordata; Aves; Charadriiformes; Scolopacidae
Description: lncRNA (ENSCPUG00000003558.1)
Source: RNAcentral
CCCACAUCUCAGCUCCAUCUCCCCUCUUUCAGGGUCAAACCCUUCCCCCUCCUCCUAGGGCUCCCCUCCCUGAUCCAGAGUCCCUCCCCAGCUCUCCUGGAGCCCCUUGAGGGACUGGAAGGGGCUCUAAGGUCUCCCAGAAGCCUACCCCCGCCUGACCAGUUUUCGCUGCCUUUUCCCUCUUUCUCGACAUUACCCAGUUUAUUUCCACCCGCCCGGGCCCACAGGCCCCGCCACCGCCACCAUCGGGCCCGCCCCGCGGGGAGCGGCCGAGGGGAGCGGGGCGGCGCCUGCGGAACUACCCGGGCAGCGCGGCGGGACCAGGCCCCUUUCCCCGCCCGCCGCCUUGUGGCUCCGCGGUGGGACCGGGCCUCCCUCCCCGCCCGCCGCCAUGGGGCACCGCUGCAGAGCUGCGCCGGGGCGGCCGCCGUGAGGGCUUCCAGCUGGUGCCCGGCUGAGGCGCCGGUGAUGGGACGGCUGUAACACAGAGCUCGAGGCUGGCAAAGAGCUCUCUGGGGGACACAACCCUCAGUUUGCAUCCUUGGCUGUAGGAGCCGCCUCGCUGAGGCAGCGGUAGCUGUUGGAAGAAAAGGAAAUGAGCUGUUGGUGCCGCUUUGAAGAUUCCCAUUUGAAAGAGAUGGAGAAGAUGGAAACUUCCCCAAUUUAAGUGGGGCUGCUGGAGAAGUCCUUGUUUUCAGGAUCUGGAUGCAGUAACUUGAAAUAGCAAAGGCGGUUGGGGGCAAGGUUAUAAUACGAAUUACAUAUAGAAUUUGUUAAUCCCUUUCACUGCUUGUUUAAAAUGAUAUUCUUAUUAAACUUAUUUGUAUUUUAACUUGAGCGUUUGAGUUUUCAUCGUAUCGUAAGGCUGUGGGGGACAGCAGGAGUUAAAAGCUGUCCUGAAUUCCUGCUGGUGGGAGGCUGG